GUUCAUGUGAAGAUGGCGGACGAAGCAGUCUGUGUUGGCCCUGCUCCCACUAGCAAAAGCUACCUCAACAUGGAUGCCAUCAUGGAAGCCAUUAAGAGAACUGGUGCCCAAGCUGUCCACCCAGGAUAUGGGUUUCUUUCUGAAAACAAAGAAUUUGCCAGGCGUCUGCACACCUUGUAGCACCAAAGUUGAGGUCCACGUGGAAUUAUGGAGACUUCAUUUGAUUGUGAUUUUUUUCUAGAUGGGAAAUAAAAUUUUAUUUGUAUUAGAG
This is a long non-coding RNA of Bombina bombina (fire-bellied toad), 271 nucleotides long. RefSeq lists it as uncharacterized. The transcript is spliced from 3 exons. The record is from RefSeq and is a predicted model, not a curated record. NCBI's taxonomy places the organism in Eukaryota, Metazoa, Chordata, Amphibia, Anura, Bombinatoridae.